Long non-coding RNA from Scylla paramamosain (green mud crab), 754 nucleotides. RefSeq lists it as uncharacterized. The transcript has 3 exons. Lineage: Eukaryota; Metazoa; Arthropoda; Malacostraca; Decapoda; Portunidae. The record is from RefSeq and is a predicted model, not a curated record.
AAAAAAAAAAAAAAAUGGGGUGUUACAAAGUAAACGAGAGUCGGGAAGCGUCAGCGAGUGUUUACCUUUUCAGGAGUCGGGGUGUAACCACGUGUUGCGUGAUAUUUGCAAAUUUUGAUCUUUUAUAAGUGCUUUGGGGUGUUGAAAUGUGAUUGAACAUGACAAGUGACGCGCACACAGCACCACGUGGCCUCACCUUCCUGGUCUUGAUGGCGUAGAUGGUGCAGAAGAUCACGAGGAUGAGGGGGUAGAUGAGACCCACGAUGUAGGAGUAGUCGUCCAGCCCACCGCAGAUCCUCACUUUGUAGUCAGUAGUCGGGUAGCACAGCGUCUUGGUGCUGGGCGGCCUGAGCACCAGCCAGCACACGUUGAUCACCACCUCCACGCUCACCAGCAUCACCACGAUCACCACCUGACUCCACGGCGACGUGUACCGCGCCUGGAGGGGAAGAGGAAGGUGGACUGGCUUCAAACACCUGUAGAGACUCGUACGUGGCGCCAACCCUGGGACAAGAAGAUGGGGCAAGGUGGUGUUCACUGGUCGCCGGCAUCAAGGACAGGCACAUCGGCGAGGGUGUGAGGUGAGGCGGCGGAAGGUUCACUGGUUUACGGGCAGAGGGCGUCACGGGGCUCAGUCAUAUUCCCACCUGCACUUCUUCCCCCUGACAUUUUCCCCUCAGCAGCUUCCUCCUCUCGAUAUAUUCCCCUCAAGACAACUUCCCUGUGGACAUUUUUUUUUCCCUUUUCCCUUCUU